This 253-nucleotide ribosomal RNA is filed under the name uncultured bacterium. RNAcentral describes it as "partial 16S ribosomal RNA". It matches the Rfam family "Bacterial small subunit ribosomal RNA", at positions 524 to 776 of the family's 1533-position model. The record is from RNAcentral.
UACGGAGGGGACUAGCGUUGUUCGGCCUUACUGGGCGUAAAGCGCACGUAGGCGGAUUUGUAAGUCAGGGGUGAAAUCCCGGGACUCAACCUCGGAACUGCCUUUGAUACUGCAAAUCUCGAGUCCGGAAGAGGUGAGUGGAAUUCCUAGUGUAGAGGUGAAAUUCGUAGAUAUUAGGAAGAACACCAGUGGCGAAGGCGGCUCACUGGUCCGGUACUGACGCUGAGGUGCGAAAGCGUGGGGAGCAAACAGG